This 613-nucleotide long non-coding RNA is filed under the name Equus asinus (donkey). RNAcentral describes it as "lncRNA (ENSEASG00005030436.1)". Lineage: Eukaryota; Metazoa; Chordata; Mammalia; Perissodactyla; Equidae. The record is from RNAcentral.
CAGAGUUUAGAUAUAGCCCCUCUGAGUAUUCUUAUUUUAUGAUAUACAGGAUGCUGUAUUUUUGAAUUUGGUAAAUUUCCACUCACUUUGUGUUUAGGUCUCCCAGGAUCUUGUUCUGUAAUAUUGAAGAAAAGCUACUUGAUUCCACUGAGUUUACGUGUAAGCUAUGGCAUUCUUAUAAAUGUUGACGUGGGCUACUCUAGAGAAGAAGCAAAAGGAGACACUCCAUGGAAUAGUCAGCAAUAGCAGGAGAAUUCAACAGAACAGAGUUUGAGUCUUCAAUUGUGAUUCAUAUCCAGUAACAUAAUCAAGUCAGUUUUUUAGAAAGGAUUCAGAAUUGUUACUAGCCUUGUACUGAGGUUUUGUAUGUAGAUAGAUUUCCUCAUUCAUGAAUAGGGAGACUCCUAUCCCAGACUGAAGACUUAUCAGCAGAUAUCCAAGACAGAGAAAAAAAGAUGAAUAAAUGGCUAUAUAAUUGGAAGUGUUGGUUUCAGUUGCUGUUUUAAGAUGUAAGAGAAGCAGCAAAUGGUAAUUCAAUGUUAAAGAAGAAGAUGUUAUAAAAUUGAUAGAAACAGUUAAAAAUCAUGGCAGUGUAAGUUCAUUUAAAGCAAUG